GCCUGUAAUCCGACAGGGCACGUUCCACUUUCCGCUGCCCCAUUGGCCCUUUAACCCUUUGUGGCCCACUACGAGGGCCUCGGCGGAGCGGCCCUUAACUCCUGAUUUGUGCACACAUCCAUCAUUAUCAUUAUCAGCCCGGGCAGGCCCGUUGUUAGUCCACAAUUGCGUUUUGUUGUGCUAACCAAAACUGUCAACAUUCAGCUGCCAGUUGAUGGAGCAGCCGGGUUAGUCCAAACGUUAUGAUAAUCACCCACGAUGGCAUGGGUGCUCGUACUGGGGUGUCGCCCGUGAUGGGAUGGAGCAGGUGGCAGCCGAUGGCAGGACAUGGACUUGGACAUGAACAGGGGCAGACGACAGUCAUUUUCCAGUUACUCGACUGAUUGUUAAGGAAUUCCCGAGACCACAUUCGCUCCACAAACAUGGGUCUAAAUGGGUCUGGCCAGAUGCAGGCGAGCCCAUUGGUCUUCGAACAUAACUCUUUUGCGCCCUGACCGCUUCAGACAGUUGGAAUUACGAGCACUUCCGGAUGCUUCGGCAAAUAAUUAAGACUCCGUUUUAGAGUGGAGCUACCAUAUUUUAUCCGUGGCGAUUUCGUGCCGGCACAUCAAUCAAAGUAAAUAUUUAUAAAUUUCCGCACACAUCCUUGCACAAGGACGAAGGACGAAGGCCACGGGCAGGGAGCCGGGAGCA
Long non-coding RNA from Drosophila biarmipes, 693 nucleotides. RefSeq lists it as uncharacterized. The record is from RefSeq and is a predicted model, not a curated record. The transcript is spliced from 3 exons. NCBI's taxonomy places the organism in Eukaryota, Metazoa, Arthropoda, Insecta, Diptera, Drosophilidae.